Molecule: ribosomal RNA, 468 nt
Filed under: uncultured bacterium
Lineage: Bacteria
Description: partial 16S ribosomal RNA
Rfam family: Bacterial small subunit ribosomal RNA
Source: RNAcentral
GACGAACGCUGGCGGCGUGCUUAACACAUGCAAGUCGAACGGAAAGGCCCUGCUUUUGUGGGGUGCUCGAGUGGCGAACGGGUGAGUAACCCGUGAGUAACCUGCCCUUGACUUUGGGAUAACUUCAGGAAACUGGGGCUAAUACCGGAUAGGAGCUCCUGCUGCAUGGUGGGGGUUGGAAAGUUUCGGCGGUUGGGGAUGGACUCGCGGCUUAUCAGCUUGUUGGUGGGGUAGUGGCUUACCAAGGCUUUGACGGGUAGCCGGCCUGAGAGGGUGACCGGCCACAGUGGGACUGAGAUACGGCCCAGACUCCUACGGGAGGCAGCAGUGGGGAAUAUUGCACAAGGGGCGGAAGCCUGAUGCAGCAACGCCGCGUGCGGGAUGACGGCCUUCGGGUUGUAAACCGCUUUCGCCUGUGACGAAGCGUGAGUGACGGUAAUGGGUAAAGAAGCACCGGCUAACUACGUG